RNAcentral lists this unclassified non-coding RNA (372 nucleotides) under soil metagenome. RNAcentral describes it as "partial contains 5.8S ribosomal RNA, internal transcribed spacer 2, and large subunit ribosomal RNA". The stretch from base 1 to 120 matches the Rfam family "5.8S ribosomal RNA", at positions 35 to 154 of the family's 154-position model. The record is from RNAcentral.
GAUGAAGAACGUAGCGAAAUGCGAUAAGUAAUGUGAAUUGCAGAAUUCAGUGAAUCAUCGAAUCUUUGAACGCACAUUGCGCCCCUUGGUAUUCCGAGGGGCAUGCCUGUUCGAGCGUCAUUAUCACCCCUCAAGCCCUCGGCUUGGUGUUGGACGGUUUGGUGGAGGCCCCCUCGGGGGCUCCUGCCCCUCCCAAAGACAAUGACGGCGGCCUCGUUGGACCCCCGGUACACUGAGUUCUUCACGGGACACGUAUCGGACACAUGGGUUUACGGGACACGGUCUGCCUCCCCUCAGGGAGAAUCUUUCUAAGGUUGACCUCGGAUCAGGUAGGGAUACCCGCUGAACUUAAGCAUAUCAAUAAGCGGAGGA